GGUUAGACGAAAAAUCUAGGUAGAAUAAUAAAUAAAAUUAAUUAACAGCAAAAUAUUAAAAGUAAACUUUUUUCUUUUUUUAGGUGAAAUUUAUAUAAAGGAAUAAAUUUUCUCAUUUAUAUUUAAGGGAAUUACAAAAUAAAGAUUAGAAACCAGGAUUAGAUACCCUGUUAUUCUUUAAAAUGUGCAAUAGGGUAGUAAAAGUUGUUCUUCAAACCCAAAGAUUUUGGCGGCAUUCUAACCAAAUAGAGGAGCUUGUCUUAUAAUCGAUAACCCACGUUAUAUCUUACCCCUUCUGAUCUAGUUUGUAUACCUCCGUUGUCAGAUUACUCUAAAAGGAUGUUUUCAAUAAAAAUUAUUUUACUACUUCAGGUCAAGGUGCAACUUAUGAGGGGGCAAACGGUGAGCUACAAUUUUCUAAAGAAUACGGAUGUUUAAGUUAAAAUUUAACUGAAGGUGGAUUUAUCAGUAAAUUAAUUUAAGGAAAAUUAAUUGAAUGGGGCAAUAGCAUGUGUACAUAUCGCCCGUCACUCUCCUCCUAAAAGGAGA
Molecule: ribosomal RNA, 549 nt
Filed under: Daphnia cf. atkinsoni AP-2005
Lineage: Eukaryota; Metazoa; Arthropoda; Branchiopoda; Diplostraca; Daphniidae
Description: partial 12S ribosomal RNA
Source: RNAcentral